Schistosoma curassoni is the source of this 45-nucleotide non-coding RNA. Lineage: Eukaryota; Metazoa; Platyhelminthes; Trematoda; Strigeidida; Schistosomatidae. The record is from Rfam.
AUUUAGCUGAUCAGUCCCACAUAGGAUGAAAUGUGCGUCCUAGAC